UACGGAGGAUCCGAGCGUUAUCCGGAUUUAUUGGGUUUAAAGGGUGCGCAGGCGGGAGAUUAAGUCGGCGGUGAAAUUUUGCAGCUCAACUGUAAAAGUGCCUUCGAAACUGGUUUCCUUGAGUAUAGAUGAAGUAGGCGGAAUUUGUGGUGUAGCGGUGAAAUGCAUAGAUAUCACGAGGAACUCCGAUUGCGCAGGCAGCUUACUAAACUACUACUGACGCUCAGGCACGAAGGCGUGGGGAUCAAACAGGAUUAGAUAACCUGGUA
This 269-nucleotide ribosomal RNA is filed under the name uncultured prokaryote. RNAcentral's name for it is "partial 16S ribosomal RNA". It matches the Rfam family "Bacterial small subunit ribosomal RNA", at positions 524 to 792 of the family's 1533-position model. The record is from RNAcentral.